Schistocerca nitens (vagrant locust) is the source of this 424-nucleotide long non-coding RNA. RefSeq lists it as uncharacterized. The transcript has 2 exons. The record is from RefSeq and is a predicted model, not a curated record. NCBI's taxonomy places the organism in Eukaryota, Metazoa, Arthropoda, Insecta, Orthoptera, Acrididae.
UAGGUAUGUGAGCCGCUUUGUAUUCAGUUUUGGGGAACUGUAGUCGUACGGAUAUUACUGUUGUUGUCAUUAUGGACAAAGCUGGGCAAGGUAAUCGCACUAACCAGUGCAACCCGAACCAUGCGCCAUCUGGUCCAGGUCGUAAUGCUGGAUACCAUGGAGCAGGAGGCAGAGCCGAUCUGAACAAUCAUUCAAACCAACUGAAUCCUAACAACUCUCGCUACCAAGGAGGGAAGAAGUGAUUAAAACAUGACUGCCCAUUUAAGAUUUCAGUUUGUAACUUAAAUUUGAAUAAUUUGACACUGUCUCCAAUAAUUAACAUUUUCUUUACAUUUCUUCUGUUUAAAAAGUGUUGAACAUAAUGCAAACAAAAUUUUGUGAUGGCAGUUUGAAUUGAAAUAUGUAAUAAAGAAUUAAUUUUAAA